UAUAAGAGUAUAUUUAUAAUGGAAUAUACAAAGUAUAAUGGCAUGCCAUCAAUUUGAUGAUAAAACAUAAAAAAAAUUACCCCUUCAUGCAAGCACCUAUCAACUUAUUGAUUUCUACUAAUCAUAUGAUUUUCUGAUAAUUCAUAAGAUUCUUCAACAGCUAGCAUAUUAGUAACAAACCCAAUGAAACAAGAAAAUCCCACAUGCCAAACUCCAUGUAAUCUUUGUUGUACCCAGACUUUUUAAUGCACUCCUUUGAUUGCCCUUCUCAACUGCUGGAUCACCAUAAAUGGCAGACAAUGUCUAUGCUUUUUCUGUCUUAAUUCUCUGUUCAGCUUUGCUGCUAUUCAAAAUCAGAUUCAGGCAUUUUGUUACAUAUCUCCACCACAAAUGAAAUGACAAUACCAAGGUGCUGAAUGAGAGGUUGAGAUUUUGGUAGAGUCAAUUUCAAGGUCAGAAAUGUGCAUGAUCUUUGGCCAUUCUGGACCCACUCCAUUCUCCCUCUGGCAUCGUUUGGUCAGCAAUGGACAAUCCUUGAUAUGCAAAUGCUGGAGAGAUUCAGGAAGGCCAUCCUCUGGGAAGGAAUCAAUCAGGGGGCAAUCCUGGAUGUAAAGGUCCUUGAGUGAGGUAAGACUCUUCAGUAUGUCCUUAGGGACCAGGGAUUUCAGUCCAGCACAAGAAUUAAUGCUCAAACACUCAAGUGAAGAAGGUAGCCCUUCAGCUGGCAAUUUUACAAGCUUUGGACAUUCCUUGAUAGAGAGGAGUUUGAGAGAGCUCAAACUUCGCAAUGGUCUUUCGUCUUGUGACAAAGACAUUAGUUCCUUGCAACUGUGGAUGUACAAAGCCUUGAGCUCAGGAAGAUGAGGCCAUUUUGGAAAUGAUACCAGAUUUUCUAUGUUGGAGAUGAUGAGGGAGUAAAGAGAGCUGGUAUUGGGUACUGCCCUCAGUAAUGUUCCAUCACUAUAUGAAUCUAAUGCUAAACAUUGAAGAUGUUGCGCGUGCUCUGUUGAUGGGAGGGUAGUCAACAAUUCACAAUUGCUUAUCUCCAGUUUUUGUGGGGAAAAAUUUUGGGGUAGUCCUUUUAGCUUGGGGCAGUUUACUAUUUUUAAUUCUGCUAAUUUUGAGAGAGAAAAUCUUUCCCCUUCAGAUACUGUUACUUCAUUCCAGUCUUCCAGGCUAGGAUUAUCAACAAGCACCAAGGACUCCAGAGACGGAGUUACAGGAAGCACCUUUAAUGCAUUGCACUUUUUAAUCGUCAGAAUUUCUAGCUUAUCAAAGAUAUCAGGCAACUUUCUUAGCUUGGGACAGUCACAAAUCUUUAGCCUACGCAGGGAAGGAUAUUGCAUGUUUGGCCAUGCCUCCAACUCCUGCAAUCCUUUGACGUUGAGUGCCUCCAGAAGGGGCAACUGCCCAAGAGUGAGAGUUAUGGAUUUUGUGCAAUGUUUUAAUGCGGCAGUGACCAAAUUCUGAAGCAGUCCAUCUCUCAUCCAAGUUGGGAAUCUAGUGCCCUUGUAGUUCCAAAGUUGGAGCUCCUUGAUAUUCGAGUGAGGUAGCAAGUCUUCAAGGAUCCUUUCUUCAGCUGCUUCAUCAUAUGAACUGAAGUCUCCGUUGCUCCAUUCAAAUAUCAAUUUCUGAAGGCUCUCCUUCUCACUCAGUUUGGCCUCCUUUGCAUUAACUGCAUUUUCAAGCAUUGAAAUAUGCAAUGUUCCUCUGAGAUAUGCCAUGUCCUUCAACUCUUCAAUUCCAUAUCCAGUCUUGCAGCCAACCUGAAAUGCUGACAAAUUGUGCAAAUUGGUUAAUUUUCCCAUCCCUGGUGGCAAUGCCUUACAAUGGAACCAGAAUAUUUCAUCCAGCUCAAGGUAGUGCAGAUUAACAAGCUUCCUAAGGUCCUUGGGUAAUGCAAAAAGCCGAGGACAACCUAGCAGUUUCAGUGUUUGAAUAUUGCUCAAGUUGCAGAUUGAGUCAGGAAGCACUUUGAUUUCAGUUUUCGAGAUGUCUAGGUAACGCAACAAUUUCAUCUCUUCAAUAGAGCUUGGCAAUUCCAGGAUCAAGCUUGAACUCAGAUCCAACAUGCGAAUGUAUUUCAAUGAAUGGAACACUUUUCCAAGGGCUUGCCCAAAGUCUUUUACAUAGUCACCAGGCAAUAGAAGC
This 2151-nucleotide unclassified non-coding RNA is filed under the name Hevea brasiliensis (rubber tree). The record is from RNAcentral. Lineage: Eukaryota; Viridiplantae; Streptophyta; Magnoliopsida; Malpighiales; Euphorbiaceae.